AUUAUUUCGCAGAGGCGAUAUCAUAGCCUAUGAAGUCCAUCUGAGGCGUGAUUAUUGCAAAAAAAAAAAUAUAUAACAUAUUUCUAUUUUUUAAAAGAUGACAAUAUUGAGCAGCAUCAUCUUAUG
Non-coding RNA from Salvelinus sp. IW2-2015, 126 nucleotides. Lineage: Eukaryota; Metazoa; Chordata; Actinopteri; Salmoniformes; Salmonidae. The record is from RefSeq and is a predicted model, not a curated record.